AACGAACGCUGGCGGCAGGCCUAACACAUGCAAGUCGCACGCUCUUCUUCGGAAGGGAGUGGCGCACGGGUGAGUAACGCGUGGGAACGUGCCCUGGGGCUGGGGAGUAACGGCGGGAAACUGCCGCUAAUACCCGCUACGCCUUGAGAGGGAAGGGAGCAAUCCGCGAGGAUUUCUCCGCCCUGGGAGCGGCCCGCGUUGGAUUAGCUAGUUGGUGGGGUAACGGCCGUACCAAGGCAACGAUCCAUAGCUGGUCUGAGAGGAUGGAUCAGCCACACUGGGACUGAGACACGGCCCAGACUCCUACGGGAGGCAGCAGGUGGGGAAUAGUUGGACAAUGGGCGCAAGCCUGAUCCAGCCAUGCCGCGUCGAGUGAAGAAGGCCUU
RNAcentral lists this ribosomal RNA (386 nucleotides) under uncultured bacterium. RNAcentral describes it as "bacterial SSU rRNA". It matches the Rfam family "Bacterial small subunit ribosomal RNA", at positions 28 to 418 of the family's 1533-position model. The record is from RNAcentral.